GCACCACAGUUUGCGGACCUGUUGUCAGGAUUGGGUUGUUUUGGGUUUUUUCCCAAUUACCUUUUCAGCCAUCCUACCAAGAGCUGUAUAUUCGAGGGCAGUCUGCUGACAUUUUUUUCUUUAACCCCUUACCUAUUGAUCCACAUUCCACGGACAACCUGCUGUGGUGAAUGCACUGCUACGGUGCUGGAUGUUCCAGCUACAUCCACUUGGAAUAUACCUGCUGUGAAUUCCAGCAUGUCAGCAGUCCUAGCCAGAGUCUGAGAGCUCAUGAGAGGAGUGAAAACAAGACUGGAACAUGCCAUAACGCAGAACUCCAUCUUCACACCUACCCCCGUGUCGGAUCAACUGCAAUGGCUCUGGGCUCGCUUAGUAGAGUAUAUACCCAGAAACAUCACUCUGGCCCUGGAGCCCUUCAGCGUGUGCAGGUAUUCGUCUGUAGUCCCUGAGAAGAGCUUCUGACCAUCAAACGGGAGGUCCUCAACAGUAUUCCGAACCUCUCUUGGGAGCUCCGACAGUUGGAGCCAUGACGCCCUGCAUAUG
This is a long non-coding RNA of Terrapene triunguis (Three-toed box turtle), 543 nucleotides long. RefSeq lists it as uncharacterized. The record is from RefSeq and is a predicted model, not a curated record. The transcript has 3 exons. NCBI's taxonomy places the organism in Eukaryota, Metazoa, Chordata, Testudines, Emydidae.